This 467-nucleotide ribosomal RNA is filed under the name uncultured bacterium. RNAcentral's name for it is "partial 16S ribosomal RNA". It matches the Rfam family "Bacterial small subunit ribosomal RNA", at positions 28 to 507 of the family's 1533-position model. The record is from RNAcentral.
GAUGAACGCUGGCGGCGCGCCUAACACAUGCAAGUCGAACGAUUAAAGCACCUUCGGGUGUGUAUAAAGUGGCGAACGGCUGAGUAACACGUGGGCAACCUGCCCCUUUCAUUGGGAUAGCCACGGGAAACCGUGGAUAAUAUCGAAUACUUCGAGACUUCCGCAUGGAAGACUCGAGAAAGCUCCGGCGGAGAGGGAUGGGCCCGCGGCCUGUUAGCUUGUUGGUGGGGUAACGGCCUACCAAGGCAAUGAUGGGUAGCUGGGUUGAGAGACCGACCAGCCAGAUUGGGACUGAGACACGGCCCAGACUCCUACGGGAGGCAGCAGUGGGGAAUCUUGCACAAUGGGCGAAAGCCUGAUGCAGCGACGCCGCGUGCGGGAUGAAGGCCUUCGGGUUGUAAACCGCUUUCAGCAGGGACGAGGCGAAAGUGACGGUACCUGCAGAAGAAGCCCCGGCUAACUACGUG